GACGAACGCUGGCGGCGUGCUUAACACAUGCAAGUCGAACGGAAAGGCCCUGCUUUUGUGGGGUGCUCGAGUGGCGAACGGGUGAGUAACACGUGAGUAACCUGCCCCUGACUUUGGGAUAACUUCAGGAAACUGGGGCUAAUACCGGAUAGGAGCUCCUGCUGCACGGUGGGGGAUGGAAAGUUUCGGCGGUUGGGGAUGGACUCGCGGCUUAUCAGCUUGUUUGUGAGGUAGUGGCUUACCAAGGCUUUGACGGGUAGCCGGCCUGAGAGGGUGACCGGCCACAUUGGGACUGAGAUACGGCCCAGACUCCUACGGGAGGCAGCAGUGGGGAAUAUUGCACAAUGGGCGGAAGCCUGAUGCAGCAACGCCGCGUGCGGGAUGACGGCCUUCGGGUUGUAAACCGCUUUCGCCUGUGACGAAGCGUGAGUGACGGUAAUGGGUAAAGAAGCACCGGCUAACUACGUG
RNAcentral lists this ribosomal RNA (468 nucleotides) under uncultured bacterium. RNAcentral describes it as "partial 16S ribosomal RNA". It matches the Rfam family "Bacterial small subunit ribosomal RNA", at positions 28 to 507 of the family's 1533-position model. The record is from RNAcentral.